UGGGGAAUUUUGCGCAAUGGGGGAAACCCUGACGCAGCAACGCCGCGUGAGUGAUGAAGGCCUUCGGGUCGUAAAGCUCUGUCAGAGGGGAAGAAAUGCAGGGGUGCUAAUAUCAUCUUUGCUUGACGGUACCCUCAAAGGAAGCACCGGCUAACUCCGUGCCGGCAGCCGCGGUAAUACGGAGGGUGCGAGCGUUGUUCGGAAUUAUUGGGCGUAAAGCGCGUGUAGGCGGUUUGAUAAGUCUGAUGUGAAAGCCCCGGGCUCAACCUGAGAAGUGCAUUGGAAACUGUCAGACUUGAAUACGGGAGAGGGUAGUGGAAUUCCUAGUGUAGGAGUGAAAUCCGUAGAUAUUAGGAGGAACACCGGUGGCGAAGGCGGCUACCUGGACCGAUAUUGACGCUGAGACGCGAAAGCGUGGGGAGCAAACAG
This 429-nucleotide ribosomal RNA is filed under the name uncultured bacterium. RNAcentral's name for it is "bacterial SSU rRNA". It matches the Rfam family "Bacterial small subunit ribosomal RNA", at positions 355 to 775 of the family's 1533-position model. The record is from RNAcentral.